AUACGGAGGAUCCGAGCGUUAUCCGGAUUUAUUGGGUUUAAAGGGUGCGCAGGCGGCCAUUUAAGUCAGCGGUUAAAUCGUGGGGCUCAACCCCAUUCUGCCGUUGAUACUGGGUGGCUUGAUUGCGGUCGAGGUUGGCGGAAUUCGUUGUGUAGCGGUGAAAUGCAUAGAUAUGACGAAGAACACCGAUUGCGUAGGCAGCUGACCAGAUCGCAAAUGACGCUCAUGCACGAAAGUGCGGGGAUCGAACAGGAUUAGAUUCCCUGGUAGUCCGCACAGUAAACGAUGAAUACUUGUUUUCGGCGAUAUAAUGUCGGAGGCAAAGCGAAAGCGAUAAGUAUUCCACCUGGGGAGUACGCCGGCAACGGUGAAACUCAAAUGAAUUGACGGGG
This 392-nucleotide ribosomal RNA is filed under the name uncultured bacterium. RNAcentral's name for it is "partial 16S ribosomal RNA". It matches the Rfam family "Bacterial small subunit ribosomal RNA", at positions 523 to 918 of the family's 1533-position model. The record is from RNAcentral.